GCGGUCGUAGUGUAGUGGCCUAGCACUAGAGUUUGUGGAACUCUCAGGGGGGGUUCGAAUCCCCUCGACCGCC
This 73-nucleotide transfer RNA is filed under the name bacterium. Its description in RNAcentral is "tRNA-His". It matches the Rfam family "tRNA". Rfam says of the family: Transfer RNA (tRNA) molecules are approximately 80 nucleotides in length. The record is from RNAcentral.